UGGAUCCAGACUUGAUUAUGGCUCAGGAUGAACGCUAGCUACAGGCUUAACACAUGCAAGUCGAGGGGAAACGACAUCGAAAGCUUGCUUUUGAUGGGCGUCGACCGGCACACGGGUGAGUAACGCGUAUCCAACCUGCCCACCACUUGGGGAUAACCUUGCGAAAGUAAGACUAAUACCCAAUGAUAUCUCUAGAAGACAUCUGAAGGAGAUUAAAGAUUUAUCGGUGAUGGAUGGGGAUGCGUCUGAUUAGCUUGUUGGCGGGGUAACGGCCCACCAAGGCUACGAUCAGUAGGGGUUCUGAGAGGAAGGUCCCCCACAUUGGAACUGAGACACGGUCCAAACUCCUACGGGAGGCAGCAGUGAGGAAUAUUGGCCAAUGGGCGAGAGCCUGAACCAGCCAAGUAGCGUGCAGGAUGACGGCCCUAUGGGUUGUAAACUGCUUUUAUAAGGGAAUAAAGUGGGAGUCGUGACUCUUUUUGCAUGUACCUUAUGAAUAAGGACCGGCUAAUUCCGUGCCAGCAGCCGCGGUAAUACGGAAGGUCCGGGCGUUAUCCGGAUUUAUUGGGUUUAAAGGGAGCGUAGGCCGGAGAUUAAGCGUGUUGUGAAAUGUAGAUGCUCAACAUCUGCACUGCAGCGCGAACUGGUUCCCUUGAGUACGCACAAAGUGGGUGGAAUUCGUGGUGUAGCGGUGAAAUGCUUAGAUAUCACGAAGAACUCCGAUUGCGAAGGCAGCUCACUGGAGCGCAACUGACGCUGAAGCUCGAAAGUGCGGGUAUCGAACAGGAUUAGAUACCCUGGUAGUCCGCACGGUAAACGAUGGAUGCCCGCUGUUGGUCUGAAUAGGUCAGCGGCCAAGCGAAAGCAUUAAGCAUCCCACCUGGGGAGUACGCCGGCAACGGUGCAACUCAAAUGAAUUGACGGA
RNAcentral lists this ribosomal RNA (925 nucleotides) under uncultured bacterium. RNAcentral's name for it is "bacterial SSU rRNA". It matches the Rfam family "Bacterial small subunit ribosomal RNA", at positions 1 to 917 of the family's 1533-position model. The record is from RNAcentral. RNAcentral also lists the same sequence under 1 other name.